GUGGAUGAAGGGAGAGAAGAACAUGGGGAAGAAGAAAACAAGCACGAGGCAGAAGAAGAACAUGAGGAAGAUGAAAGCAAAAGUGAAGAGAUUGAAGAUGAAGGAGGAGAUGCUGAGACAGAUGAAAAUGAUCAUGAUAAAUCAGAAGCAGAUAAUGAUCAUGAUAAAUCAGAAGCAGAUAAUGAUCAUGAUGAUGAGGUUGUAGACGACGAGAAAGAGAAAGAAGAGGGCGAUGAGAUAGAGAAUGAAGAGAAGGAGGAUGAGGAAAAGGGGGGUUUAGUUGAAAACCAGGAGAAUCAUG
This 301-nucleotide long non-coding RNA is filed under the name Trifolium pratense (red clover). Its description in RNAcentral is "long non-coding RNA (TPRA_LNC000052)". Lineage: Eukaryota; Viridiplantae; Streptophyta; Magnoliopsida; Fabales; Fabaceae. The record is from RNAcentral.